RNAcentral lists this transfer RNA (76 nucleotides) under Pleodorina starrii. Its description in RNAcentral is "tRNA-Pro". Lineage: Eukaryota; Viridiplantae; Chlorophyta; Chlorophyceae; Chlamydomonadales; Volvocaceae. The record is from RNAcentral.
GGGAGUUUGGUUUAGUGGUAUUGAUUCUCGCUUAGGGUGUGAGAGAGGUCGUGGGUUCAAUUCCCCGCAACUCCCC